GGAGUAUCCUUGCCUGUCUCAGUGAUGUUUUAAGGAGCCAAAAAAGCAUCUUGACCUUUGGCUGAGAAUGGCUGAGAUCUGGACCUGUCACUGCCUAACUGAGAGCUUCAGAUUGGUGCAUGAUACUGGAUGGGGUUCCAGGACAUCACAGAAAUUGUCACCUUCUGGACUGAGUUGAGGGUCCUGAGCUCUGGAAAAGACAUUAGGCGGUGACAGAGCCUUGGAACAGGCUGCCCAGAGAGGUUGUGGAGACUCCCUCUCUGGAGAUAUUCAAGACCCAUCUGGACACUUUCCUGUGUAACCUACUGUAGGGAACCUGCUUAAGCAGGGGGGUUGGACUCAAUGAUCUCCAGAGCUCCCAUCCCGCCCCUGUGAUUCUAUGAUUCUAUGAUACCCUUUUUGGACCUUCCCCAUCUGUUAGCUCAAAACUGGACUGUGUUCUGCUUAGGUAGCGGCAUCCACUGCUGUGGGCCAGCGCAGACAGAGGAGACUUCACUGCUGUGUGCAGGGUGA
RNAcentral lists this long non-coding RNA (513 nucleotides) under Numida meleagris (helmeted guineafowl). RNAcentral describes it as "lncRNA (ENSNMEG00000021915.1)". Lineage: Eukaryota; Metazoa; Chordata; Aves; Galliformes; Numididae. The record is from RNAcentral.